Molecule: transfer RNA, 100 nt
Rfam family: tRNA
About the family: Transfer RNA (tRNA) molecules are approximately 80 nucleotides in length. Their secondary structure includes four short double-helical elements and three loops (D, anti-codon, and T loops).
GAAGCGGUGGCUCAAUGGUAGAGCUUUCGACUCCAGUUAAAUCCUGGUCAUGAGGAAAAUUGCAAUCGAAGGGUUGCAGGUUCAAUUCCUGUCCGUUUCA